This 433-nucleotide ribosomal RNA is filed under the name uncultured bacterium. Its description in RNAcentral is "partial 16S ribosomal RNA". It matches the Rfam family "Bacterial small subunit ribosomal RNA", at positions 29 to 507 of the family's 1533-position model. The record is from RNAcentral.
AACGAACGCUGGCGGCAUGCCUAACACAUGCAAGUCGAACGAGACCUUCGGGUCUAGUGGCGCACGGGUGCGUAACGCGUGGGAACCUGCCCUUAGGUUCGGAAUAACUCCCCGAAAGGGGUGCUAAUACCGGAUAAUGUCUUCGGACCAAAGAUUUAUCGCCUUUGGAUGGGCCCGCGUUGGAUUAGCUAGUUGGUAGGGUAAAAGCCUACCAAGGCGACGAUCCAUAGCUGGUCUGAGAGGAUGAUCAGCCACACUGGGACUGAGACACGGCCCAGACUCCUACGGGAGGCAGCAGUGGGGAAUAUUGGACAAUGGGCGAAAGCCUGAUCCAGCAAUGCCGCGUGAGUGAUGAAGGCCCUAGGGUUGUAAAGCUCUUUUACCCGGGAUGAUAAUGACAGUACCGGGAGAAUAAGCACCGGCUAACUCCGUG